AUGGACACACGGAAGACGGCAAAAAAGAGAAACUUCUCUGACGUGGAGAUUGAGACGAUCAUCAGGGAGGUAGAAAGAAAUACAAUUGUUUCAUUUGGCAGUUUAAAAAGCGGAAUAAAAGAUGAUGAUGUGAUGGGCCAUGAAAUUGCACAUAGGUCACCUGAAGUGUAUACCUGGAUCAAAUGGAACACUUUAAAAACAAGAUAAGGCCUCCAGACAAACACAGCAAUCAAUGAUUCAGCAAAAAGGAUGUCACGAUUGGCGUAGUGGUGGAGAGGAAGGAACCAGGCGCAGGCAGAGUGGCAGUCCAUGUUGUGAUUUUAAUUGAAAAGAACACCGAGCACUGAAACACACAAAACAUAAACAAAAGGGCUGGCUAUGCAGCAAAACGACACUCACCCCGGCCGAGAACAAACCUAGACACAACUAUGACCAACAAAUGAGGGGAACAGAGGAGCAACAUUGAAACACAUACUAAUGACUGAAUUGGGACCUGGUGUGAGUGAUAAUCAAAGACAAGACACAUGACAAGUCCGGGAUUUGUUCGUGGAUGAAAAGAAAAGCGGGAAAAGCGGGAGAUGACAGUGCCUCACAAAUAUCCUCCACUUCAAUGCCUCCACAAAUUCCAUUAAUAAUCUGCCAUUUCCAGAAAUAAUAGUCAUUUACAACAUUAACAAUGUCUACACUGUAUUUCUGAUACAUCUGAUGGUAUUAUAAUGGAUGAAAAAAAGUAUUUUCUUUAAAAAAUUUAAGUGGCCACCACUAUACCCCACAUUAGUUAAUAAGAAUGUUAAACUAUCAUUAUCAAGCCCUACCUUACUAAUGACACUUAACCCACUGUAAUCUUAUUAACAAACUGGAUAAGUUUAUGAAUAGUUUAUAUUACUUAGCCAAUUAUUCAAGCAAACAACGAGCUACAUGAAUGAAUGUCCAAUAUCAACAUUAAGAAGUUACGGUACAAACUGUGCUCCACCAAUAAACAACAUGAUUUUAUGUACUGUGUCAACCUGAUCAAAUGACAGUACACACUGUUAGUUGUAAGUGACGUAAGUAAUGAUUCACAAAUGCAUUCUAGUUUGUUUAUCAUCCGUUCAUGUUAACUAUCGUAUUCAUUAAUGCUAGAGUUUAAGCACCCUUAUCGGAAUGUGUUACCCAGGGGUUGAAUACUAAUCCAAGCAUUUCAGAUUUUUGUUGUUCUUACAAAUAUUUUCUAACAUGAAACCAAUACCAUCUUGCAAUCAUCGAUUUUGAAUGUCAGGAACUGAAAAAUGAAACUUCAAAACAAUACCAUUAUAAUUUAAUUAAAUUAAAGAAUUGUUCAGGGUUUGGAAUACAUUUCAAAUGCACCGCAAAAUAUGCAUUGAAAAGCAAAAGUGAGGGGGUGUAUCUGUGGUAUGCACAGUGAAUGAUGCAGCACAUACUCAUUCAGAGGGUGUUUUUAAGAUGCGGUUUUCACAGAGAAUCUUAAGUAACAAAGAGUCAGUAACACUCAAUAUGCAGGUAAUGAUCAUGCCAUUUAUAUCACCAGAGAUGAGACAGGCUGUAGAGGUGUGUGUACACUGUUAAGUUUGUGUACAAACACUUGAUGAAAACUGAUGAUGAUGCUGCGGAUGUGAAGACAGCAGCUAUCAGCGAGCCCUUGUAACUGCAAAUACACAUUUCAAUUUACCAGACAAACAUGAAUAAAUUGUACAUUUUAUUAAAAGGAAUAUUUUCUGCCUCUGUGUUCCACUUGGGAGAUAAAGUAAUGAUAGUAAACCUUUGGGCGAAAGUAAGUUGGGUUAUGACUAUAGAGCCCCACCCCAGGGCUACACUAAGUAUAAUCCAAUCAGACAUUAAGAAUACGUUCUGAGAGGGGAUAUGGAAGACUAGCUGUAAUUCAUACUUAUUUUAUAUUCCUUAGGAUGGAUCCAAAGACUAUUCACAGAAACCCAUUAUGAACCCCAGCACCAGGU
Esox lucius (northern pike) is the source of this 1955-nucleotide long non-coding RNA. NCBI's taxonomy places the organism in Eukaryota, Metazoa, Chordata, Actinopteri, Esociformes, Esocidae. The record is from Ensembl.